UGGGGAAUAUUGCACAAUGGGCGCAAGCCUGAUGCAGCAACGCCGCGUGAGGGACGACGGCCUUCGGGUUGUAAACCUCUUUUGGCAGGGAAGAAGCGAAAGUGACGGUACCUGCGGAAAAAGCACCGGCUAACUACGUGCCAGCAGCCGCGGUGAUACGUAGGGUGUAAGCGUUGUCCGGAUUUACUGGGUGUAAAGGGCGCGCAGGCGGGAUAAAAAGUCAGUGGUGAAAUCCUACAGCUUAACUGUAGAACUGCCUUUGAUACUUUUAUUCUUGAGUUCGGGAGAGAGUGACGGAAUUCCGGGUGUAGUGGUGAAAUACGUAGAUAUCUGGAAGAACACCAGUUGCGAAGGCGGUCUCUUGGUCCGACACUGACGCUGAGGCGCGAAAGCGUGGG
This 398-nucleotide ribosomal RNA is filed under the name uncultured bacterium. RNAcentral's name for it is "bacterial SSU rRNA". It matches the Rfam family "Bacterial small subunit ribosomal RNA", at positions 355 to 765 of the family's 1533-position model. The record is from RNAcentral.